Molecule: ribosomal RNA, 253 nt
Filed under: uncultured prokaryote
Description: partial 16S ribosomal RNA
Rfam family: Bacterial small subunit ribosomal RNA
Source: RNAcentral
UACGUAGGGGGCAAGCGUUAUCCGGAUUUACUGGGUGUAAAGGGAGCGUAGACGGCUCUGCAAGUCUGGAGUGAAAACCCGGGGCUCAACCCUGGGACUGCUUUGGAAACUGUGGAGCUUGAGUACCGGAGGGGUAAGCGGAAUUCCUAGUGUAGCGGUGAAAUGCGUAGAUAUUAGGAGGAACACCAGUGGCGAAGGCGGCUUACUGGACGGUAACUGACGUUGAGGCUCGAAAGCGUGGGGAGCAAACAGG